Molecule: ribosomal RNA, 227 nt
Filed under: uncultured soil bacterium
Lineage: Bacteria
Description: partial 16S ribosomal RNA
Rfam family: Bacterial small subunit ribosomal RNA
Source: RNAcentral
AGAUUGAACGCUGGCGGCAUGCUUUACACAUGCAAGUCGAACGGUAACAGGCCGCAAGGUGCUGACGAGUGGCGAACGGGUGAGUAAUGCAUCGGAACGUGCCCAAUCGUGGGGGAUAACGCAGCGAAAGCUGUGCUAAUACCGCAUAAGAUCUACGGAUGAAAGCAGGGGAUCGCAAGACCUUGCGCGAAUGGAGCGGCCGAUGGCAGAUUAGGUAGUGGUGAGGU